GGGCCCUUAGCUCAUUUGGUAGAGCACUGCCUUUGCAAGGCAGGGGUGGCCGGUUCGAGCCCGGCAGGGUCCACCA
This 76-nucleotide transfer RNA is filed under the name Patescibacteria group bacterium. RNAcentral's name for it is "tRNA-Ala". It matches the Rfam family "tRNA". From Rfam's summary of the family: Transfer RNA (tRNA) molecules are approximately 80 nucleotides in length. The record is from RNAcentral.